This 673-nucleotide long non-coding RNA is filed under the name Cricetulus griseus (Chinese hamster). Its description in RNAcentral is "lncRNA (ENSCGRG00015033393.1)". Lineage: Eukaryota; Metazoa; Chordata; Mammalia; Rodentia; Cricetidae. The record is from RNAcentral.
GUUUGUGGGAACUAAUUUAUUUUUAUGGUGAGAAUAAAAAUACCCACAAAUAUAAACAAAUAUAUACAUGCGUUCUUACUGGAUUAAUACAAUUGGUUGGUCAAGAAGCAGCCAUUGGGGCCUGGAGAGAUGGCAAGGCCCACAGGAGGAUCUGAGGUAGAAUUCCAAGCAUCUAUGUAAAAUUCCAGCAGUGGGAUAAUUUCCUGAUACAGAAGCCAGGGAACAUAUAUUUAAUUUAAACAAAGAAGCAGAUACCCGGGGUUUUGAAAGUCCGGAGUAACAUUUACAUUAAUGGAAAGUACUACUUGAACAUGGAAGCACUAACGUGUGGGUAAGGAAUAGUCAAGAUGUCUGCCAAGAGAGAUUCUAGCUGCUUUGCUCACUUUCUUUGCCAAAUCGUCCUCAAAGAGGUUCUUUUUGACUAAAGGCUUCCUUUGAGCCCUCAUCCAGUGGCUGAUGGAAGCCGAGGCAGACACCCACAGAUUCACACUGAACUGAACUCUGGAACUUAGUUGCAGAGAGAGAGGAAUGAAGAUCAAAGGGGUCAGUACCAGGCGGUGAAACCCACAGGAACAGCUGGCCUGUACAGGUGGAGCACAUGGACCCCAGACUGCUGUCUGGGUGGCCAGUACAGGACUGAUCCAGACCCCUGAACAUGGAUGUCAAUUAGGAG